CUCUCUGUAGCUCAGUUGGUCAGAGUGCUGCACCGGAAUCGCAGGGUCGCAGGUUCGAUUCCUGCUAGAGAGC
RNAcentral lists this transfer RNA (73 nucleotides) under Paramuricea clavata. It matches the Rfam family "tRNA". From Rfam's summary of the family: Transfer RNA (tRNA) molecules are approximately 80 nucleotides in length. Their secondary structure includes four short double-helical elements and three loops (D, anti-codon, and T loops). Further hydrogen bonds mediate the characteristic L-shaped molecular structure. tRNAs have two regions of fundamental functional importance: the anti-codon, which is responsible for specific mRNA codon recognition, and the 3' end, to which the tRNAs corresponding amino acid is attached (by aminoacyl-tRNA synthetases). tRNAs cope with the degeneracy of the genetic code in two manners: having more than one tRNA (with a specific anti-codon) for a particular amino acid; and 'wobble' base-pairing, i.e. permitting non-standard base-pairing at the 3rd anti-codon position. Lineage: Eukaryota; Metazoa; Cnidaria; Anthozoa; Malacalcyonacea; Plexauridae. The record is from Rfam by way of RNAcentral.